AGAGUUUGAUCCUGGCUCAGAUUGAACGCUGGCGGCAUGCCUUACACAUGCAAGUCGAACGGCAGCGCGGGCUUCGGCCUGGCGGCGAGUGGCGAACGGGUGAGUAAUACAUCGGAACGUGCCCUGUCGUGGGGGAUAACUAGUCGAAAGAUUAGCUAAUACCGCAUACGACCUGAGGGUGAAAGCGGGGGACCGCAAGGCCUCGCGCGACAGGAGCGGCCGAUGUCUGAUUAGCUAGUUGGUGGGGUAAGAGCCUACCAAGGCGACGAUCAGUAGCUGGUCUGAGAGGACGAUCAGCCACACUGGGACUGAGACACGGCCCAGACUCCUACGGGAGGCAGCAGUGGGGAAUUUUGGACAAUGGGGGCAACCCUGAUCCAGCAAUGCCGCGUGUGUGAAGAAGGCCUUCGGGUUGUAAAGCACUUUUGUCCGGAAAGAAAACGCGCUGGUUAAUACCUGGCGUGGAUGACGGUACCGGAAGAAUAAGCACCGGCUAACUACGUGCCAGCAGCCGCGGUAAUACGUAGGGUGCGAGCGUUAAUCGGAAUUACUGGGCGUAAAGCGUGCGCAGGCGGUUUGGUAAGACAGGCGUGAAAUCCCCGAGCUCAACUUGGGAAUGGCGCUUGUGACUGUCAGGCUAGAGUAUGUCAGAGGGGGGUAGAAUUCC
Molecule: ribosomal RNA, 667 nt
Filed under: uncultured Cupriavidus sp.
Lineage: Bacteria; Pseudomonadati; Pseudomonadota; Betaproteobacteria; Burkholderiales; Burkholderiaceae
Description: bacterial SSU rRNA
Rfam family: Bacterial small subunit ribosomal RNA
Source: RNAcentral